UUCAGAUCAAGAUGUAACCAGGAUUAUGUCUGCUCCAAGUUAUUUAUUGACAUUAUGCACACUCCCAUGCUCCCUGCUGUGAUGAUAAUGGACUGAACCUCUGAAACUCCAUUACCAGCAGAACCAUGUUGAAAGUAAAGGAUGGACUGCACAGUGGAGAAGCAUCUUCUUUACCAGCUCUUGGGCUGACCAAGCUACUACUACCCAUGUUUAACUAGAUAAGAACAAUGGAGUGGACGACGUAACUUCCUUCACGAAUUCUUAGACUCUUCACACCAGCUUUCUGCUUCAGCCCCAAUAUCAUCAGAACGUGGCAUUCAACAACUUCCCUAAUGGCCAAAGGCAAGGAGGAGGAAGAAGACACAGUGAGGCCCCCCUGCCUAGUGUCCCCAGAGCAAGCAACUUGCAUAUAGGGACAGUUCUUGCUGCAAUUGCUGGUGAGUUUACCAGAGCAGAGAAGUCAAAGACCUCUGGAACCCAAAGCCUCAGCACAUGGGCAAAGUGAUUCUACUUGCCAAUUCCCUAUUUUUUUGCACAGGGGGAUGGAUGUCUUACGGGAUAGGGUCAUGCAAAUUCAUCUUGGGCUUCUGAAGCAUCAGGUAAUACACUCGGCCACAGGCAGGAUUCCAAAACCAUUUUCCAAGCUGUCAAAUCCUGUAUGAAAAACCUAAUAUUUUGACCACCCCUCACAUCUCAUGGCAUGCUUGCCUGGCACUAAGAAAUGCACUCAUGGAGAACAUAGAGUAAUAGGUCACUUACUGGAGCAUAGCCUUGAAGUACUUGAAGAAAAAUGCCAUUUCCAUGGAAUUUGAGAACCAUCGAGGAAGGAAAGACCUUAAACAAAUAUUGUUCAGACAGAUAGAUAGAUGGAUGGUAAAUCACACACACACACACAAAUACACACACACACACACACACACACACACACACACACACACACACACACACACACACCACAUGAGUCUCUUAUAGUAGGGGUGGGGGAAGAAAGAACUCUUUCUGCCUUUGGCUUCUCCUUUAAAUAUUUGACGGAGAAAUCAAUAGUUCCACUGCAACACCCAUGGGUUGUGGUAUGUGGAGGAGAAAGAGAAAAAGAAAAAGAAAAAAAAAACCCUUAUAUUUAAACAGGGAUUUUAACCUUUUCACCUUAGCCUCUUCUAUUUCCUUUCCUUCUACUCAUAGCAUUUAGGUAAAUUAGGAAAAGAUUCCUCCAUAAACAUGCAAGGGGAUCUGUUAAACUUUCAUCUCUAAUUUAUUCAUGAAGGAGCCAGGUCUUCCCUGGCCCGGCUGUGCAUCAGACUGUCAGGAUGACUUUCUCUCUUGUUGAGAAAGGCCAUGGGAGGAGACAGAGCACAAGCCUGGGCUUUGCAGGCAAUUGCUGCCAGAAGAAAACAAAACAAUCCUUCCCCAAACAAAUGAACAAAAGCCACUUGCUCAGCUAAGUGAGUGUGAGCAAAACUUUGUGAUUGCUGGAAUGAGUCCUAAGCAUAUAUGCAUGGGAAAGUGUCGAAUAAAAAUGUAAUAUAAGUUGUAUAUUAUAAACAUGUAAUAUAUAAAAUGGAUAUAUAUAUUCUAUAAUACACAUGUGAUAGGAAUAUAUGUUCUAUAUGCCUGAGAUUGUUUAUGCACCAACAUUGUAUAAAGGUACUCUAUUACCAGCCCAGUGUACAGUUGGAUGUAGUGUCCUGAACAAUGCAAGACACAUCUGAAUUUAAACUUCUAAAUCAAGUUGUUUUCAGAUCUGCUACGUUGCUGUAGUUUUAAGGGCAUGGAAGCUUCAGACUGGGGAUUGUCCACCCUGACAGUUCUUGUCCGCAUGCAGAGACGCAGAUCUCUAUUGAACUCUGUGCAAGAGACCAUGUGUGUUCACCCUAGGCACCUGGAAUGUGUAUGCUCAGAAUACUUAACAUUUUAAGUAUACCCUCAGUUUUGCUUUCAAACUGGACUGUUGUUUAAUAUGUUGGAUGCUUUCUAUUAAAUAUUUCUCAUCUUUGAGGUUUUCUUUUGCAUUGAAAUCAUUUCCCAGUUUGUUUGUUUCUUUUUUUGUCCACUUUCAAAUAGACAUUGCUUUGGAGGCUCGUGGAACAGGAAGCAGUCUUGUAAUAUGAAAGCCCUUAUGUGAGUUGAUAAAUAGGUUGCUUGGUUUUGCCAUCCCCACCCUAGCAUUCAAAAAUUAUCAUCUUUUAUACAUGGGAAAAAGGGAGGGGGUGUGAUCUGGCAUUAGUUCUUUUAGUCGUCAGGAAAUUACAAAAUGUACACUUGCGAAGUAAGCAAUUUUUGCAGUCGGCCUGCACAUCCAUCUUUUUAAUGAGCCUUGUUUAUAACUCGACGCCAUGCUUCUAGUCACCUACCCUGUUUACGUCUUUGGCCCCUUUAAUUAAGAGAAGAACCAGUUAAAAGAAAGUGGGAAGAAAUAUUAAUAUGAUCUGAUUAAUUCAGCUAGCAGGAGGUUAUGGGGUAGCAAGGUUAUUAUAACCUAUAAAGGCAAUAUGAAUAAAGCUGUAUCCAUUUGUAAUUUUAUUAGGCGGAGCAAAUUAGUGAGACUGCAUAACAGUGACAAAAGACCUGUUCCUAUUCUCCCUUACCCCCUACUGCAAGGGCCAGGUGCCCAAAGUUAGGCUCCAUAUUAGGCAAAUGAGGUCUGAUAAAUCUCAGCUGCUCAGCUAAUGAGAACCUCCUGAGCGGCCGCUAUGCUAAUUUGGAAAGAUUAGCUGGGAUGUGUGUGUGUGUGGCUAGUUAAAGUCCAAUGAGAUAAAAGUGAAGCCCCGGCAAGGGGAACCAAUACCCACAAAGGGUUAAAGACAGAAAGCCUCUCUUGGGACAGGUAAGGCAAGGCUGAUGGAUACACAGUGGCAGUUAUCAUGAAGUAAACUAUCAAGAGUAGUUGGAGGAAUGGCAUACAAUCGGAAAAACUAGAACUUAAAAAGAAAGAUGGCUGUAACCGGCCCCUUUUAAUGAUGAAAGUCAUAAAGCCCACCUAAAGGCCCCCUCUUCAGCUUCUGAAGUCCUCCCAUUGCGGACCCCAUCAUAUCACAACACAACAUUUCUCCAAUUUGAUAGAAUCAGCAAAAAUUGGAGUGUUUAUUUCUGGCAAAAAAAAAUGUAGUGGAUCUUGAAAAGGAGGAUUUAAAGUAAAGUAACGCAGGCAUGUUGAUAGCUUUUAAUACCAAGAUCUUACAUAUCUGCCAUAACACAAUUCCUUGUUUAGAAACAGCUUCAUUAUUUCAGAAUUCUGUCUCGAAAAAUGUUUUUAGGCUCUAGUAGACAGUCAUUUCCAUGUCUUGCUUCCACUGACCCAUCCUUCACAACUCCAAGUUCUGACUUUCUGUGUGUCUGGUCAUUGUUCCAUCUGUACGGUGGAUCUUCCAUCUGUACGGUGGAUCUCCCGCUCUAAGUUCUGACUUUCUGUGUGUGUCUGGUCAUUGUUCCAUCUGUACGGUGGAUCUCCCACUUUGUGGCCCAUCCUUAUCCGGUCUCAGCCUGCCUCCACCACUACAGACAAACUGUGUUCCUGCACCGUGAGAGUCCCCCUCCCCCAUUCUGCUGUGCUCGGGACUGGGUUUUUGUUUAGCCACUUGCAAGCCUUGUUCUGUUCUAAUAUUUGAAUAUUGUAGUGGUUCUUAGUCAAAGAAUACAACAUAGAUGCAAAUCUGCAAUGGCUCAUCUGAGUUGUUAGCCAAAUGAUAAAAGUAUCCGUCUAUCAUCAGUAGCACAUUCCAUUGGAUAUCUUCUUUCAAAUAAGAACAUCUAUACAUUGACUAAAAGUCUCAGAUGAUCUCAGAAAUCCAA
This is a long non-coding RNA of Peromyscus californicus insignis, 3789 nucleotides long. RefSeq lists it as uncharacterized. The transcript is spliced from 3 exons. NCBI's taxonomy places the organism in Eukaryota, Metazoa, Chordata, Mammalia, Rodentia, Cricetidae. The record is from RefSeq and is a predicted model, not a curated record.